Molecule: ribosomal RNA, 253 nt
Filed under: uncultured bacterium
Lineage: Bacteria
Description: partial 16S ribosomal RNA
Rfam family: Bacterial small subunit ribosomal RNA
Source: RNAcentral
UACGUAGGGGGCAAGCGUUGUCCGGAAUCAUUGGGCGUAAAGCGCGCGUAGGCGGCCCGGUAAGUCCGUUGUGAAAGUCAAAGGCUCAACCUUUGAAUGCCGACGGAUACUGCCGGGCUAGAGUACGGAAGAGGCGAGUGGAAUUCCUGGUGUAGCGGUGGAAUGCGCAGAUAUCAGGAGGAACACCUAUAGCGAAGGCAGCUCGCUGGGACGUUACUGACGCUGAGGCGCGAAAGCGUGGGGAGCGAACAGG